ACGAACGCUGGCGGCGUGCUUAACACCUGCAAGUCGAACGGAAAGGCCCUGCUUUUGUGGGGUGCUCGAGUGGCGAACGGGGGAGUAACACGUGAUUAACCUGCCCUUGACUUUGGGAUAACUUCAGGAAACGGGGGCUAAUACCGGAUAGGAUCUCCUGCUGCAUGGGGGGGGUUGGAAAGUUUCGGCGGUUGGGGAGGGACUCGCGGCUUAUCAGCUUGUUGGUGGGGUAGUGGCUUACCAAGGCUUUGACGGGUAGCCGGCCUGAGAGGGUGACCGGCCACAUUGGGACUGAGAUACGGCCCAGACUCCUACGGGAGGCAGCAGUGGGGAAUAUUGCACAAUGGGCGGAAGCCUGAUGCAGCAACGCCGCGUGCGGGAUGACGGCCUUCGGGUUGUAAACCGCUUUCGCCUGUGACGAAGCGUGAGUGACGGUAAUGGGUAAAGAAGCACCGGCUAACUACGUG
This 467-nucleotide ribosomal RNA is filed under the name uncultured bacterium. RNAcentral's name for it is "partial 16S ribosomal RNA". It matches the Rfam family "Bacterial small subunit ribosomal RNA", at positions 29 to 507 of the family's 1533-position model. The record is from RNAcentral.